This 468-nucleotide ribosomal RNA is filed under the name uncultured bacterium. Its description in RNAcentral is "partial 16S ribosomal RNA". It matches the Rfam family "Bacterial small subunit ribosomal RNA", at positions 28 to 507 of the family's 1533-position model. The record is from RNAcentral.
GACGAACGCUGGCGGCGUGCUUAACACAUGCAAGUCGAACGGAAAGGCCCUGCUUGCGGGGUGCUCGCGUGGCGAACGGGGGAGUAACACGCGUGUGUACCGCCCUGCAGAUCGUGGUAUGCCUUGGAAACAGGGGGGAUUAUCGGGGAUGAGAGCUCAUGCUGCGUGGGGGGGGGUGGGAAGUUUCGGUGGGGGGGGAGGGGCCCGCGGCUUAUCAGCUUGUUGGUGGGGUAGUGGCUUACCAAGGCGUCGGCGGGUAGCCGGCCUGAGAGGGUGGCCGGCCACAUUGGGACUGAGAUACGGCCCAGACUCCUACGGGAGGCAGCAGUGGGGAAUAUUGCACAAUGGGCGGAAGCCUGAUGCAGCAACGCCGCGUGGGGGAUGACGGCCUUCGGGUUGUAAACCGCUUUCGACAGGGACGAAGCGUCAGUGACGGUACCUGUAUAAGAAGCACCGGCUAACUACGUG